Molecule: long non-coding RNA, 623 nt
Filed under: Linum usitatissimum (flax)
Lineage: Eukaryota; Viridiplantae; Streptophyta; Magnoliopsida; Malpighiales; Linaceae
Description: long non-coding RNA (LUSI_LNC005805)
Source: RNAcentral
CUGAAUUAUAUUCGAAUCUAUCAUUCUGUUACUAGCGGUUUGAAUCAAACCGAUCGACAGCCGAACACACUGUUCUACUAAUUAAGCAAAACUCAACGUUUUUCACUCAAUGGUUUAGCCUUCUUUCUAACAAAAUAAACCAAAAACACUACAAAUGUAUUAUUUCCUUGAGAAAUGUUUAUUAUUCCGAGUAGAUUUCAUGCUAGUAAUCUAUUAUUGAUCACUCAAAUCUCAAAUUAUUCCAAGUUAAUCUAUUAUGGACUGCAGGUAGCUAGUUAGCAAAAGCAUUGAGACUGGACGCAGUAGCAUACUCCCGGUGGCCCGCAAUCCAGUGCCGUAUAACAAUGUGGGGGAAUUUCCAUCGGGUUGCUUCUACCUUCAACUCCUUUGAUAUUGCUCCUCCCACCUCCGCCCAUCCCUACAUUUUGUUACGAAUGUAAGGGUCAAUAUACCGAAUCGCAAUUAAAUUAAGCUCGUGAUUAAAAGAAACAUAUACCAGUUGCAAAAACUAAGAGGACAGCCAAAAAGACCAACUUGAACCAAGCCAUGAUCUCCAUGUUUGAUAUAAGGACUGUAUGUGGGUUUGGUACCAAAUAAUCUUGGAAGUGCUUGAUGUAUCUCUG